RNAcentral lists this long non-coding RNA (1212 nucleotides) under Brachypodium distachyon (stiff brome). Its description in RNAcentral is "long non-coding RNA (BDIS_LNC003195)". Lineage: Eukaryota; Viridiplantae; Streptophyta; Magnoliopsida; Poales; Poaceae. The record is from RNAcentral.
GGGCAAACGUUUAGGGUGGGAGCGGUGAUCAUCGGCCUGAGGCCUCUGCAAUCGACGAGACUCCUUGUGGUCUUGUCUUCGAGAGUUCGGCGAGGCCGGCAGGCCGCGGUGCCAUGAACUUGCUGCCUCCAAAGCGGGAGCGGCCCAACUCUGCCUCUUUCGGGUUGAAUUCUCGUUUCCUUCAGCGGUGUUUUGGUGGGUUUUUCGCAUCGUGUACAUUUGUGUGGUCGGCGUCUAGAAGACCUCUCCUCUCUCCUCGGAAGCAGGUUUUGCCUCUCUUUCACUAUGUUUGUUCGUAUGGAUGGAGGGAUUAUUUAUAAUGUAAAAUUUUAUUGUGCUUCGUUCCAUAUAGAUUGAAGCAUCGAUGACAUUGGAUGUAUGGAGAUAAUGCGAAGAGGUCAGACUAAAAAGCUUUAUAGUACGUUUUUUUCUUUGAGAUCAAAAGCUUAUACGUACUAGUACUUCUUUCAGAACUACUGGAGUAGUACUAUGUUUUUUUUUGUCUUUUUUAGCGAAGGAAUAGUUUUUUUUAAAUAAGGAAACACUGUGUAAGUGCGUAAGGCACCGCGACUGCGAGGGGCUGACUAACGCAAAAAUCAGGCCCAUAUAGCUGAGUCGAUUUCGACACAAACCUCGAGACGAGACUAUUUCACAAAAUAAACUCGGCGCGAAAGUAUUUCGCUCAUCUAACCCUUUUUCUUAGUGCCUGACGUAACCGCGCUAAGCUCUGAAUCUUCGCGCCCCUGAUAGUUGGGUGCUAUACUGCAGGUUUCGCGCCCGAGUGCUGGGCGCUGUGGUAUUAGGUAACGGAGCAGCAGGUGCCCAUGACUUGCCUUAUGUAUGCAUGCAUCUCCAUUUAGGCUCAAACAUUAACGUGCAGUUCCAGCUCACGAACUAGGCAGGUAACUUAGUAGAUACAUGCGCUGGAGUUUAGUGAGUUGAUUAACGAGAUGUGGCAAAUGCUAAUACUGUCAGCUAAGCAUAGCAUGCAUGGGCUAUCUGGACUCGAUGCAAUAUAUAUUUGGAAGUCAAUACCAAGGUGCUUAAGUGACAUUAUCGUGCAGACCAAAGCAGGUACCUCAAUCAAUCCUAAAGAAAUCAGUAGUUUACAAAGCUCACGGCACCACCGAAACAUGCGCUGCUUCUUCCCAUAGACCCAUAAUUCUUCUUACCACAAAUUAAACCCCUGACUGCUCGUGCUUAUAUAAGCCA